GCGGCAGAGUACAGACAAGGACACCUCGACGAAGCAAGGACAGCCAAGGACGGCUGCAGGCAAGGGAGGCAGAGGCCGUGGAAAGAAUCGGGGCAAGAAGAGACGAGGACGCAAGAGGAAGGGAAACCCCAACUCGGCGCCGAGUGGGAAGGCAGCUUUGCCAACGAUGCAGCAACCUGCGAUCUUGGACCUCCGAGAAAGCAGACUUAUGGAUACGUCUACAAAUGCACCGAGAGCGGACACUGGCUCAGCCCCGGGCUCUCGCCCCAUUGCAAACCCUCAGACUUUUCU
Lethenteron reissneri (Far Eastern brook lamprey) is the source of this 291-nucleotide long non-coding RNA. RefSeq lists it as uncharacterized. Lineage: Eukaryota; Metazoa; Chordata; Hyperoartia; Petromyzontiformes; Petromyzontidae. The record is from RefSeq and is a predicted model, not a curated record.